GAUGAACGCUGGCGGCGUGCCUAAUACAUGCAAGUCGAACGAUCCGCCUUUGGCGGAUAGUGGCGAACGGGUGAGUAACACGUUGGUACCUACCCCGAAGUGGGGAAUAACUGCCCGAAAGGGUGGCUAAUACCGCAUAAUACCGCAAGGUUAAAGCAGUAAUGCGCUUCGGGAGGGGCCUGCGUCCCAUUAGCUAGUUGGUAGGGUAAUGGCCUACCAAGGCGACGAUGGGUAGCUGGAUCGAGAGGUUGACCAGCCACACUGGGACUGAGAUACGGCCCAGACUCCUACGGGAGGCAGUAGUAAGGAAUCUUCCACAAUGGACGAAAGUCUGAUGGAGCAACGCCGCGUGCAGGAUGACGGCCUUCGGGUUGUAAACUGCUUUUAUAUGGGAAGAUUAUGACGGUACCAUAUGAAUAAGGACCGGCUAACUACGUGCCAGCCACCGCGGUAA
RNAcentral lists this ribosomal RNA (454 nucleotides) under uncultured bacterium. Its description in RNAcentral is "partial 16S ribosomal RNA". It matches the Rfam family "Bacterial small subunit ribosomal RNA", at positions 28 to 523 of the family's 1533-position model. The record is from RNAcentral.